Molecule: ribosomal RNA, 253 nt
Filed under: uncultured bacterium
Lineage: Bacteria
Description: partial 16S ribosomal RNA
Rfam family: Bacterial small subunit ribosomal RNA
Source: RNAcentral
UACGGAGGAGGCAAGCGUUAUCCGGAAUUAUUGGGCGUAAAGCGCACGUAGGCGGAUUGCUAAGUCAGGGGUGAAAUCCUGGAGCUCAACUCCAGAACUGCCUUUGAUACUGGCGACCUUGAGUCCGGGAGAGGUGAGUGGAACUGCGAGUGUAGAGGUGAAAUUCGUAGAUAUUCGCAAGAACACCAGUGGCGAAGGCGGCUCACUGGCCCGGUACUGACGCUGAGGUGCGAAAGCGUGGGGAGCAAACAGG